Apteryx owenii (little spotted kiwi) is the source of this 1829-nucleotide long non-coding RNA. Lineage: Eukaryota; Metazoa; Chordata; Aves; Apterygiformes; Apterygidae. The record is from Ensembl.
AAAAAAUGGUCGUGCAUACUGCUGACUAUAUAAAAACUACAAGCUAAAACUCUAAAACUUCAUAAACACUGCAGCCUGGCCUUGGUCUGGGUUAAAUCGGUUGUGUAAAUUUUAAAAUUGCAUCAGUAUGGAUGAAAUCCUAACUUUUAAAAAUACUUAUGCCCAGACCUGACAAAUUUUAACUAAAAAUAUUUAUGCGCUCCUUUUAGUCUAUUUUUCACAGUCCCCUGAAGCAACACAAGCAGCCAGGAUUUUGUGUGAUUCAUAUGUUCACCAGUAUGUUUUAAUUUGAAAACUAAACGGAAAUUGGACUCAUGUAUACUACCAUCUUGAGUGUUUUGGGGAACAGAGAAAGGAACAGGAGUUUGAAGGUUAGAGAGCAGCAAAGUGCACUGCAAAUUCACUACAUGAUAAGGACUUUCUCCAUAAAGGCUCUCUCAGGACUCAUAGACAGGUGCAGAAAGGUGCGGUCGCAGGGCCAUGAUCUCAUUGCCAUUACAGAGACAUGGUGGGAUAGCUCGCAUGACUGGAGUGCUGUCAUGGAUGGCUACGUGCUUUUUAGGAAAGACAGGCCAGGAAAGCGAGGUGGUGGAGUUGCUCUUUAUGUGAGAGAGCAACUGGAAUGUAUUGAGCUGUGCCUAGRGGUGGAUGAAGAGCGAGUCGAGAGCUUAUGGGUAAGGAUYAAAGGGCAGGCUAGCAUGGGUGACACUGUUGUGGGUGUUUACUACAGGCCACCUGAUCAGGAAGAGGAAGUCGAUGAGGCCUUCUACAGACAGCUGGAAGUAGCCUCACGAUCCCAGGCCCUGGUUCUCAUGGGGGACUUCAACCACCCUGAUAUCUGCUGGAAAGACAACACAGCUAGGCACAAACAGUCCUGGAGGUUCCUGCAGAGCAUUGGUGACAACUUCUUGACACAGGUGGUGGAGGAGCCAACAAGGAGAGGUGUGCUGCUGGACCUCGUACUAACAAACAAAGAAGGACUGGUGGAAGAUGUGAAGGUCGGGGGUAGCCUUGGCUGCAGUGACCAUGAGAUGCUGGAGUUCAGGAUCCUGCGAGGAGGCAGCAGGGCACCAAGUAGGAUCGCAACCCUGGACUUCAGGAGAGCAAACUUUGGCCUCUUCAGGGACCUACUUGGAGGAAUCCCAUGGGUGAGGGCCCUAGAAGGAAGGAGUGUUCAAGAGAGCUGGUUAAUAUUCAAACAUCACUUCCUCCAGGCUGAAGAGCGGUGCAUCCCUAUGAGUAGGAAGUCAAGCAAAGGAGGCAGGAGACCUGCAUGGAUGAGCAAGGAGCUCCUGGCAAAACUCAACCAGAAGAAGGAAGUCUACAGAAAGUGGAAAGGGGGACAGGCCACUUGGGAGGAAUAUAGGAACGUUGUCAGAGUAUGCAGGGAUGCAACGAGGAAGGCUAAGGCCCGUUUGGAAUUAAAUCUGGCUAGAGAUGUCAAGGACAGCAAGAAGGGCUUCUUCAAAUACAUCAGUAGCAAGAGGAAGACUAGGGAAAAUGUGGGCCCUUUGCUGAAUGGAGUGGGUGCCCUGGUGACGAAGGAUGCAGAGAAGGCAGAGUUACUGAAUGCCUUCUUUGCUUCAGUCUUUACUGCUCAGGCCAGCCCUCAGGAACCCCAGAUCCUGGAGGCAAGAGAGAAAGUCUGGAGAGAGGAAGACUUUCCCUUGGUGGAGGAGGAGUGGGUUAGAGAUCAUUUAAGCAAACUUGACACCCACAAAUCCAUGGGCCCUGAUGGGAUGCACCCACGAGUGCUGAGGGAGCUGGCGGACAUUAUUGCUAAGCCACUCUCCAUCAUCUUUGAAAGGUCAUGGAGAAGAGGAGAGGUG